GGUGCUGGGUGUAUAGGAAGAGGUAUUAGCAGCAGGUAAGGUCAGUAGGUGCUGGGUGUAUAGGAAGAGGUAUUAGCAGCAGGUAAGGUCAGUAGGUGCUGGGUGUAUAGGAAGAGGUAUUAGCAGCAGGUAAGGUCAGUAGGUGCUGGGUGUAUAGGAAGAGGUAUCAGCAGCAGGUAAGGUCAGUAGGUGCUGGGUGUAUAGGAAGAGUUAUUAGCAGUAGUUAAGGUCAGUAGGUACUGGGUGUAUAGGAAGAGGUAUUAGCAGCAGGUAAGGUCAGUAGGUUCUGGGUGUAUAGGAAGAGAUAUUAGCAGCAGGUAAGGUCAGUAGGUGCUGGGUGUAUAGGAAGAGGUAUCAGCAGCAGGUAAGGUCAGUAGGUGCUGGGUGUAUAGGAAGAGGUAUUAGCAGCAGGUAAGGUCAGUAGGUGCUGGGUGUAUAGGAAGAGGUAUUAGCAGCAGGUAAGGUCAGUAGGUGCUGGGUGUAUAGGAAGAGAUAUUAGCAGUAAGUAAGGUCAGUAGGUGCUGGGUGUAUAGGAAGAGUUAUUAGCAGCAGGUAAGGUCAGUAAGUGCUGGGUGUAUAGGAAGAGGUAUUAGCAGCAGGUAAGGUCAGUUGGUGCUGGGGGUAUAGGAAGAGAUAUUAGCAGCAGGUAAGGUCAGUAGGUGCUGGGUGUAUAGGAAGAGCUAUUAGCAGCAGGUAAGGUCAGUAGGUGCUGGGUGUAUAGGAAGAGGUAUUAGCAGCAGGUAAGGUCAGUAGGUGCUGGGUGUAUAGGAAGAGAUAUUAGCAGCAGGUAAGGUCAGUAGGUGCUGGGUGUAUAGGAAGAAGUAUUAGCAGCAGGUAAGGUCAGUAGGUGCUGGUGUAUAGGAAGAGAUAUUAGCAGCAGGUAAGGUCAGUAGGUGCUGGGGGUAUAGGAAGAGGUAUUAGCAGCAGGUAAGGUCAGUAGGUGCUGGGUGUAUAGGAAGAGAUAUUAGCUGUAGGUAAGGUCAGUAGGUGCUGGGUGUAUAGGAAGAGGUAUUAGCAGCAGGCAAGGUCAGUUGGUGCUGGGUGUAUAGGAAGAGGUAUUAGCAGCAGGUAAGGUCAGUAGGUGCUGGGUGUAUAGGAAGAGGUAUUAGCAGCAGGUAAGGUCAGUAGGUGCUGGGUGUAUAGGAAGAGGUAUUAGCAGCAGGUAAGGUCAGUAGGUGCUGGGUGUAUAGGAAGAGGUAUUAGCAGCAGGUAAGGUCAGUAGGUGCUGGGUGUAUAGGAAGAGGUAUCAGCAGGAGGUAAGGUCAGUAGGUGCUGGGUGUAUAGGAAGAGGUAUUAGCAGCAGGUAAGGUCAGUAGGUGCUUGGUGUAUAGGAAGAGGUAUUAGCAGCAGGUAAGGUCAGUAGGUGCUGGGUGUAUAGGAAGAGGUAUUAGCAGCAGGUAAGGUCAGUAGGGUGCUGGGUGUAUAGGAAGAGGUAUUAGCAGCAGGUAAGGUCAGUAAGUGCUUGGUGUAUAGGGAGAGGUAUUAGCAGCAGGUAAGGUCAGUAGGUGCUGGGUGUAUAGGAAGAGGUAUUAGCAGCAGGUAAGGUCAGUAAGUGCUGGGUGUAUAGGAAGAGGUAUUAGCAGCAGGUAAGGUCAGUAGGUGCUGGGUGUAUAGGAAGAGGUAUUAGCAGCAGGUAAGGUCAGUAAGUGCUGGGUGUAUAGGGAGAGGUAUUAGCAUCAGGUAAGAUCAGUAGGUGUUGGGUGUAUAGGAAGAGGUAUUAGCAGCAGGUAAGGUCAGUAGGUGCUGGGUGUAUAGGAAGAGGUAUUAGCAGCAGGUAAGGUCAGUAGGUGCUGGGUGUAUAGGAAGAGGUAUCAGCAGCAGGUAAGGUCAGUAGGUGCUGGGUGUAUAGGAAGAGUUAUUAGCAGUAGUUAAGGUCAGUAGGUACUGGGUGUAUAGGAAGAGGUAUUAGCAGCAGGUAAGGUCAGUAGGUUCUGGGUGUAUAGGAAGAGAUAUUAGCAGCAGGUAAGGUCAGUAGGUGCUGGGUGUAUAGGAAGAGGUAUCAGCAGCAGGUAAGGUCAGUAGGUGCUGGGUGUAUAGGAAGAGGUAUUAGCAGCAGGUAAGGUCAGUAGGUGCUGGGUGUAUAGGAAGAGGUAUUAGCAGCAGGUAAGGUCAGUAAGUGCUGGGUGUAUAGGAAGAGGUAUUAGCAGCAGGUAAGGUCAGUUGGUGCUGGGGGUAUAGGAAGAGAUAUUAGCAGCAGGUAAGGUCAGUAGGUGCUGGGUGUAUAGGAAGAGCUAUUAGCAGCAGGUAAGGUCAGUAGGUGCUGGGUGUAUAGGAAGAGGUAUUAGCAGCAGGUAAGGUCAGUAGGUGCUGGGUGUAUAGGAAGAGAUAUUAGCAGCAGGUAAGGUCAGUAGGUGCUGGGUGUAUAGGAAGAAGUAUUAGCAGCAGGUAAGGUCAGUAGGUGCUGGUGUAUAGGAAGAGAUAUUAGCAGCAGGUAAGGUCAGUAGGUGCUGGGGGUAUAGGAAGAGGUAUUAGCAGCAGGUAAGGUCAGUAGGUGCUGGGUGUAUAGGAAGAGAUAUUAGCUGUAGGUAAGGUCAGUAGGUGCUGGGUGUAUAGGAAGAGGUAUUAGCAGCAGGCAAGGUCAGUUGGUGCUGGGUGUAUAGGAAGAGGUAUUAGCAGCAGGUAAGGUCAGUAGGUGCUGGGUGUAUAGGAAGAGGUAUUAGCAGCAGGUAAGGUCAGUAGGUGCUGGGUGUAUAGGAAGAGGUAUUAGCAGCAGGUAAGGUCAGUAGGUACCGGGUGUAUAGGAAGAGGUAUUAGCAGUUGGUAUGGUCAGUAGGUGCUGGGUGUAUAGGAAGAGGUAUUAGCAGCAGGUAAGGUCAGUAGGUUCUGGGUGUAUAGGAAGAGGUAUUAGCAGCAGUUAAGGUCAGUAGGUGCUGGGUGUAUAGGAUGAGGUAUUAGCAGCAGAUAAGGUCAGUAGGUGCUGGGUGUAUAGGAAGAGGUAUUAGCAGCAGGUAAGGUCAGUAGGUGCUGGGUGUAUAGGAAGAGGUAUUAGCAGCAGGUACGGUCAGUAGGUGCUGGGUGUAUAGGAAGAGGUAUUAGCAGCAGGUAAGGUCAGUUAGAUGCUGGGUGUAUAGGAAGAGAUAUUAGCAGCAGGUAAGGUCAGUAAGUGCUGGGUGUAUAGGAAGAUGUAUUAGCAGCAGGUAAGGUCAGUAGGUGCUCGGUGUAUAGGAAGAGGUAUUAGCAGCAGGUAAGGUCAGUAGGUGCUGGGUGUAUAGGAAGAGGUAUUAGCAGCAGGUAAGGUCAGUAGGUGCUCGGUGUAUAGGAAGAGGUAUUAGCAGCAGGUAAGGUCAGUAGGUGCUGGGUAUAUAGGAAGAGGUAUUAGCAGUAGGUAAGGUCAGUAGGUGCUGGGUGUAUAGGAAGAGUUAUUAGCAACAGGUAAGGUCAGUAGGUUCUGGGUGUAUAGGAAGAGGUAUUAGCAGCAGGUAAGGUCAGUAGGUUCUGGGUGUAUAGGAAGAGGUAUUAGCAGCAGGUAAGGUCAGUAGGUGCUGUGUGUAUAGGAAGAGGUAUUAGCAGUAGGUAAGGUCAGUAGGUGCUGGGUGUAUAGGAAGAGGUAUUAGCAGUAGGUAAGGUCAGUAGGUGCUGGGUGUAUAGGAAGAGGUAUUAGCAGCAGGUAAGGUCAGUAGAUGCUGGGUGUAUAGGAAGAGAUAUUAGCAGCAGGUAAGGUCAGUAGGUGCUGGGUGUAUAGGAAGAGGUAUUAGCAGCAGGUAAGGUCAGUAGGUGCUGGGUGUAUAGGAAGAGGUAUUAGCAGCAGGUAAGGUCAGUAGGUGCUGGGUGUAUAGGAAGAGGUAUUAGCAGUAGGUAAGGUCAGUAGGUGCUGGGUGUAUAGGAAGAGGUAUUAGCAGCAGGUAAGGUCAGUAGGUGCUGGGUGUAUAAGAAGAGGUAUUAGCAGCAGGUAAGGUCAGUAGAUGCUGGGUGUAUAGGAAGAGGUAUUAGCAGCAGGUAAGGUCAGUAGGUGCUGGGUGUAUAGGAAGAGGUAUAAGCAGCAGGUAUGGUCAGUAGGAUGCUGGGUGUAUAGGAAGAGGUAUUAGCAGCAGGUAAGGUCAGUUGGUGCUGGGUGUAUGGGAAGAAGUAUUAGCAGCAGGUAAGGUCAGUAGGUGCUGUGUGUAUAGGAAGAGGUAUUAGCAGUAGGUAAGGUCAGUAGGUGCUGGGUGUAUAGGAAGAGGUAUUAGCAGUAGAUAAGGUCAGUAGAUGCUGGGUGUAUAGGAAGAGGUAUUAGCAGCAGGUAAGGUCAGUAGGUGCUGGGUGUAUAGGAAGAGGUAUUAGCAGCAGGUAAGGUCAGUAGGUGCUGGGUGUAUAGAAAGAGGUAUUAGCAGCAGGUAAGGUCUGUAGGUGCUGGGUGUAUAGAAACAGAUUUUAGCAUCAGGAACAGUGAGGUUCUUAGGUCACCUAUUUUAAUAAACCAUACACUGUACACAGGAGGCUACUAAACUUGUACAUGGUGUAAAAAAUACAAUGGACAUGAAAAUUCAUCAUGAACUUAUAUGUAAAGGUUAGAGAGGAGAAGGGAGAGAGAAGAUAUGAUAGAAACAUUCAUUUAUAUUGGAGGCUUUAACAAAGCUCAGGAUGAAAGCUUUUUUAGCAAGAGCAGAGGAACGUUACACUCCAGUUCAAUAUUUACAUCCAGUUUGUCACCCUCCUUGCUUCAUUUCUUAGCGCCAAAGUGUAGGCACAUAUAUUGUUGUUAUUAUUGGUGCCGUUUUCAUGAACUUUGCCUGCGAACAUUUCUCACGAAUACAUCUUGCCAACCUGGAUUUGGUAGUACCUGGAAAACACCGGGAGGGACACGACAACUUUGACAACUUCGUGACACAGAAGGAUGCCGAUAUGAGACGAUAAGUCUAUGGUGUUUAUGUUACACAUAUGCUGAUUUUAUGCUUUUUAUCUUGUGAGUGGCCAUUUGUCGUGUGUAUUAUAAUUAAAUUGUUUAUACUCUG
Bombina bombina (fire-bellied toad) is the source of this 4931-nucleotide long non-coding RNA. RefSeq lists it as uncharacterized. The transcript is spliced from 2 exons. NCBI's taxonomy places the organism in Eukaryota, Metazoa, Chordata, Amphibia, Anura, Bombinatoridae. The record is from RefSeq and is a predicted model, not a curated record.